UACGUAGGGUCCGAGCGUUGUCCGGAAUUAUUGGGCGUAAAGGGCUCGUAGGCGGUUCGUCACGUCGGGAGUGAAAACUCGGGGCUUAACCCCGAGCCUGCUUCCGAUACGGGCAGACUAGAGGUAGGCAGGGGAGAGCGGAACUCCUGGUGUAGCGGUGGAAUGCGCAGAUAUCAGGAAGAACACCGGUGGCGAAGGCGGCUCUCUGGGCCUUACCUGACGCUGAGGAGCGAAAGCGUGGGUAGCAAACAGG
Molecule: ribosomal RNA, 253 nt
Filed under: uncultured bacterium
Lineage: Bacteria
Description: partial 16S ribosomal RNA
Rfam family: Bacterial small subunit ribosomal RNA
Source: RNAcentral